RNAcentral lists this unclassified non-coding RNA (338 nucleotides) under uncultured fungus. RNAcentral's name for it is "partial contains small subunit ribosomal RNA, internal transcribed spacer 1, and 5.8S ribosomal RNA". The stretch from base 1 to 73 matches the Rfam family "Eukaryotic small subunit ribosomal RNA", at positions 1759 to 1831 of the family's 1831-position model. Lineage: Eukaryota; Fungi. The record is from RNAcentral.
GCAAACUUGGUCAUUUAGAGGAAGUAAAAGUCGUAACAAGGUCUCCGUAGGUGAACCUGUGGAGGGAUCAUCAAAGAAUUUUCCAUUAUUCCAAGGUGCUUUUUUCCCCUUUCUCUUGAAAGAGAGAGAGAGAGGAGAAAAGUGCUUUGCAAACAAACGAUCACAACUAUUGAAAAAAUUGUGGUGGAUAAUAUUGGCUUGGUUUCCUUGACUUGACUUGCAAAAGAAAAAGUGUUUGCCUGAUAUCAGAGUUGGUUGACUUGGAAAAAAAAACAAGAGAAAAUUAUACAACUUUCAACAACGGAUCUCUUGGCUCUCACAUCGAUGAAGAACGCAGC